UACGGAGGAUGCAAGCGUUAUCCGGAUUUAUUGGGUUUAAAGGGUGCGUAGGCGGUCAUAUAAGUUGGAGGUGAAACCCGCGGGCUCAACCUGCGGCCUGCCUCCAAAACUGUGUGACUGGAAUGCGGGUGCCGUGGCAGGAAUGAGUAGUGUAGCGGUGAAAUGCAUAGAUAUUACUCAGAACACCGAUUGCGAAGGCAUGUCACGAACCCGUAAUUGACGCUGAGGCACGAAAGCGUGGGGAUCAAAC
RNAcentral lists this ribosomal RNA (250 nucleotides) under uncultured prokaryote. RNAcentral describes it as "partial 16S ribosomal RNA". It matches the Rfam family "Bacterial small subunit ribosomal RNA", at positions 524 to 773 of the family's 1533-position model. The record is from RNAcentral.